Falco peregrinus (peregrine falcon) is the source of this 546-nucleotide long non-coding RNA. RefSeq lists it as uncharacterized. The transcript is spliced from 3 exons. Lineage: Eukaryota; Metazoa; Chordata; Aves; Falconiformes; Falconidae. The record is from RefSeq and is a predicted model, not a curated record.
GGGAGAGAGCGAGCGAGGCAAGGAGAGGAGGAGGAGGAGGGGGGAAGCUUUAAAUAAAGCCUUUGGAUUGCAGCUGCUUAUUUUGGGCAGUCCAACCAGGGACGAUUCCUGCCAGGAAAGAAGCUGGACCGGUCCUUUUCAAUUUUAUUUUUUUUUAAUUUAUUUUGAUUUUUAUUUUUGGGGGUGGCAGUGGUGUAUUGCCGAGCUGCCUGCUGAGAUGAGCUCCGGUGCCUGGCUGUAGUUGCCUACUUUGGGAUCGCUGGACACAUAAGUGGCAUUUCGGUGGGGGGAAGCCUGCAGACAUGUGAGAAUGGCUGGACCGUGGCAGUGGCGCACUGAUUUUUGUGGAUGGUGAACACAAAAAGGGGAUUAAGAAGAGACCACCUGAGUUAUUCUGACACAUGACUUGAGUGCUUUCUAUUCUUAGACAGAUGAGGAUCUGAAAUAUGUAGACUGAGAGUAACACAUGUCCAGAUUAAAACUGUAUCCUACAAGAAGUAUUUGAUGGAUUAUUCCUAGACAUUUCUAAGAAGGUAAAUACAAAAA